UGGCUCAGUGGUAGAGUGCUUGCCUCACAUGCAUGAGGCCCUGAGUUUGAUUCCUCAG
Dipodomys ordii (Ord's kangaroo rat) is the source of this 58-nucleotide non-coding RNA. The record is from Rfam. Lineage: Eukaryota; Metazoa; Chordata; Mammalia; Rodentia; Heteromyidae.